Non-coding RNA from Orycteropus afer afer, 72 nucleotides. The record is from the annotation of a RefSeq genome assembly. Lineage: Eukaryota; Metazoa; Chordata; Mammalia; Tubulidentata; Orycteropodidae.
GAGGAUGUAGCUCAGUGGUAGAGCGCAUGCUUUGCAUGCAUGAGGCCUUGGGUUCAAGUCCCAGCAUCUCCA